AUUGAACGCUGGCGGCAUGCCUUACACAUGCAAGUCGAACGGCAGCACGGACUUCGGUCUGGUGGCGAGUGGCGAACGGGUGAGUAAUACAUCGGAACGUACCCAGUAGAGGGGGAUAACGCAGCGAAAGCUACGCUAAUACCGCAUACGCCCCAAGGGGGAAAGAGGGGGAUCUUAGGACCUCUUGCUAUUGGAGCGGCCGAUGGCUGAUUAGCUAGUUGGUGGGGUAAGGGCCUACCAAGGCAACGAUCAGUAGCUGGUCUGAGAGGACGAUCAGCCACACUGGAACUGAGACACGGUCCAG
Molecule: ribosomal RNA, 304 nt
Filed under: uncultured bacterium
Lineage: Bacteria
Description: bacterial SSU rRNA
Rfam family: Bacterial small subunit ribosomal RNA
Source: RNAcentral